AAGAAGCCGUCGAGAGAUAUCGGAAGAGUUUUCUUUUCUGUUUUAUAGCCGUACUACCAUGGAAGUCUUUCGCAGAGAGAUAUGGUAGAUGGGCUAGAAGAGCAUGACAUAUACUGUUGUGUCGAUAUUUUCUCCUCGGACCUUGAAAAUUUAUGGUGGGGACACGCAAACUUCUCAACAGGCCGUACCAAUAUCCGCAGCUGGUCUCCAAGGUGAAGAGUCUCUAGUCGAUAGAAUAAUGUAGGUAAGGGAAGUCGGCAAAAUAGAUCCGUAACUUCGGGAUAAGGAUUGGCUCUAAGGGUCGGGCUCGCUGGGCCUUGGGGGGAACCUCCUGGA
Molecule: ribosomal RNA, 336 nt
Filed under: Chaetoceros curvisetus
Lineage: Eukaryota; Bacillariophyta; Thalassiosirophyceae; Chaetocerotales; Chaetocerotaceae
Description: partial Eukaryotic large subunit ribosomal RNA
Rfam family: Eukaryotic large subunit ribosomal RNA
Source: RNAcentral